UAUAGAAUGCCUGAUUAAAAGGACAAUUUUGAUAGAGUUGAUCAUGGAAUAUUUCCUUCUAUAAUUAAA
Molecule: transfer RNA, 69 nt
Filed under: Lipromima minuta
Lineage: Eukaryota; Metazoa; Arthropoda; Insecta; Coleoptera; Chrysomelidae
Description: tRNA-Ile
Source: RNAcentral